This 526-nucleotide ribosomal RNA is filed under the name uncultured bacterium. RNAcentral describes it as "bacterial SSU rRNA". It matches the Rfam family "Bacterial small subunit ribosomal RNA", at positions 11 to 518 of the family's 1533-position model. The record is from RNAcentral.
GUUUGAUUCUGGCUCAGGAUGAACGCUGGCGGCGUGCUUAACACAUGCAAGUCGAACGAAGCGUCCCGCCCGAUGAAGUGGAGUGCUUGCACAAAGCAGAAUCAAUUGGGAUGACUUAGUGGCGGACGGGUGAGUAACGCGUGGGUAACCUGCCUUACACAGGGGGACAACAGUUGGAAACGACUGCUAAUACCGCAUAACCCCGCUAGUACCGCAUGGUACAGACGGAAAAGAUUUAUCGGGUGUAAGAUGGACCCGCGUCUGAUUAGCUAGUUGGUGAGGUAACGGCUCACCAAGGCGACGAUCAGUAGCCGGCCUGAGAGGGUGAACGGCCACAUUGGGACUGAGACACGGCCCAAACUCCUACGGGAGGCAGCAGUGGGGAAUAUUGGACAAUGGGGGAAACCCUGAUCCAAGCGACGCCGCGUGAGUGAAGAAGUAUUUCGGUAUGUAAAGCUCUAUCAGCAGGGAAGAAAAUGACGGUACCUGACUAAGAAGCCCCGGCUAACUACGUGCCAGCAGCUGC